AUGUCUACCUCGAGCCUUGUGAGAAGUGGAAGAAACGGGGAUGUGUCAGGAAGAGAUCCGUUGAGAUUACAGAGGCCAGUUGUCCGCUUGGUGUCUGUUAAGUCACGUGAGGCUUCCAAACGUGUAAGUGAGUUAUGUGGGAUAUGUUUUCGCAUAACACUUCCAUUUUCUAAGUGGGGUUUCUUAGAGUGUCUUGAGUGCGUAAGUAUGAAGAGAGAACACACUUGUUCUCUUCAUCUUCUAUGUCCAACACAAAACCCUUGUCCAUAG
This is a non-coding RNA of Vicia faba (fava bean), 270 nucleotides long. The record is from the annotation of a GenBank genome assembly. Lineage: Eukaryota; Viridiplantae; Streptophyta; Magnoliopsida; Fabales; Fabaceae.